Molecule: ribosomal RNA, 253 nt
Filed under: uncultured bacterium
Lineage: Bacteria
Description: partial 16S ribosomal RNA
Rfam family: Bacterial small subunit ribosomal RNA
Source: RNAcentral
UACGAAGGGUGCAAGCGUUACUCGGAAUUACUGGGCGUAAAGCGUGCGUAGGUGGUUUGUUAAGUCUGUUGUGAAAGCCCCGGGCUCAACCUGGGAAUGGCAAUGGAUACUGGCAGGCUAGAGUGCGGUAGAGGGUAGUGGAAUUCCCGGUGUAGCGGUGAAAUGCGUAGAGAUCGGGAGGAACACCAGUGGCGAAGGCGGCUACCUGGACCAUUACUGACGCUGAGGCGCGAAAGCGUGGGGAGCAAACAGG